Molecule: ribosomal RNA, 583 nt
Filed under: Rhodotorula glutinis
Lineage: Eukaryota; Fungi; Basidiomycota; Microbotryomycetes; Sporidiobolales; Sporidiobolaceae
Description: eukaryotic LSU rRNA
Rfam family: Eukaryotic large subunit ribosomal RNA
Source: RNAcentral
CGUCUAGAUCCCUGUGCGGCGAGCGAGCGGGAAGAGCUCAAAUUUAUAAUCUGGCACCUUCGGUGUCCGAGUUGUAAUCUCUAGAAGUGUUUUCCGCGUUGGACCGCACACAAGUCUGUUGGAAUACAGCGGCAUAGUGGUGAAACCCCCGUAUAUGGUGCGGACGCCCAGCGCUUUGUGAUACACUUUCAAUGAGUCGAGUUGUUUGGGAAUGCAGCUCAAAUUGGGUGGUAAAUUCCAUCUAAAGCUAAAUAUUGGCGAGAGACCGAUAGCGAACAAGUACCGUGAGGGAAAGAUGAAAAGCACUUUGGAAAGAGAGUUAACAGUACGUGAAAUUGUUGGAAGGGAAACGCUUGAAGUCAGACUUGCUUGCCGGAGCUUGCUUCGGUUUGCAGGCCAGCAUCAGUUUUCCGGGGUGGAUAAUGACGGUUUGAAGGUAGCAGUCUCGGCUGUGUUAUAGCUUUCCGUUGGAUACAUCCUGGGGGACUGAGGAACGCAGCGUGCUUUUUGCGAAAGACUCGUCUUUUUCACGCUUAGGAUGCUGGUGGAAUGGUUUUAAACGACCCGCUGAAAAACGGGAGGA